Molecule: non-coding RNA, 45 nt
Filed under: Schistosoma margrebowiei
Lineage: Eukaryota; Metazoa; Platyhelminthes; Trematoda; Strigeidida; Schistosomatidae
Source: RNAcentral
AUCCAACUGUCGCGUCCUAAAUAGAACGAAACGUGCGCCUUGGAU